UACGAAGGGGGCUAGCGUUGCUCGGAAUUACUGGGCGUAAAGCGCACGUAGGCGGUCUUUUAAGUCGGGGGUGAAAUCCUGGAGCUCAACUCCAGAACUGCCUUCGAUACUGAAAGACUUGAGUCCGGGAGAGGUGAGUGGAACUGCGAGUGUAGAGGUGAAAUUCGUAGAUAUUCGCAAGAACACCAGUGGCGAAGGCGGCUCACUGGCCCGGUACUGACGCUGAGGUGCGAAAGCGUGGGGAGCGAACAGG
This 253-nucleotide ribosomal RNA is filed under the name uncultured bacterium. RNAcentral describes it as "partial 16S ribosomal RNA". It matches the Rfam family "Bacterial small subunit ribosomal RNA", at positions 524 to 776 of the family's 1533-position model. The record is from RNAcentral.